GAAGAAUAAUUAUUUCUUAGCAUGUACAGCGUUUUGAGCAAGUAGCCAGAUCACAAACCGUAAAGGGACUUCGUAUUGUCAAGUCAAGUAUAGUAUAUUUAUAUAGCGCUUUUUACAAUAUAGAUUGCAUCAAAGCAGCUUCACAGUAUCAAUCAAAACAUAAUAACAAUGUUCGUUUCUUAGUGGAAAAACAUCCACGUUUGGUAGAGCUGAUCAAUGGUAUUAUUGAUUGGUUAAUUAAUUUGAAUAUCCCCAACUGAGCAAGCCAAAGGCAACAGUGGCAAGGAACCGAAAAACUCCAUCAAGUGACCCAAUGGAGAAAAAAAAACCUUGGGAGAACCCAGGCUCAGUCGGGGCCAGUUCUCUUCUGGCGUUUAAUAACUAGAGGCCGGAUUUACUGUAACUGUAAGGUAAAAAUGUAUAUGAAUGUCUCUAAACAGACUUUAAACGCGAACCUGUGAUAAACGCUGAUGGCGUUCACAUGCGCAUUAAGAAUUGAUUCUAUAGUUAUGUGCGUUUGAAUAUAUGUGCGCAGGUUUGUAAUUACCUCAUGCCUGAACAAACUACUU
Molecule: long non-coding RNA, 569 nt
Organism: Rhinichthys klamathensis goyatoka
Lineage: Eukaryota; Metazoa; Chordata; Actinopteri; Cypriniformes; Leuciscidae
Exons: 2
Source: RefSeq, a predicted model, not a curated record